AUAAUUAAAAGAAAAGAAAAGUGGGAACUUGCGACUUAAUCUUCUCCUUUGACUCUCUUCUCGCGAAAAUCAGCAACUCUUCCCUUCCAUAACUUAUAUCUCCGACCAUCUUCUUCGUUUUCUUUAGUCUUCAACCUCACCUUCAUUCCAAGCUCCAUUUGGUCAAAUCUACGACAUCAUCUUCUCCGUUCUCUUUAGUCUUCUACCUCACCUUCGUUCCAAGCUCCAUUUGGUCAAAUCUCCAACCUCAUCUUCUCCAUUCUCAACUGUCUUCAACCUCACCUUCGUUCCAAGCUCCAUCUAGUCUAACCUCCGACCUUAGCUUCUCUGUUCUCUAAGUCCUCAAGCUCUACCUAUCACAAAAUAAUAAGGUAGAGUAGCAUAUAAGUUGAGGCCGAGGGCUCUUUUAGAUGAUCAAUCCGUCUUCAUUUGAAAACCAGAGCUUUCAAGGUAGUGAGGAGAGAAUAAGAGAAGCAUUUAUCGAGGUAGUGAUCUUUUGCUUUAGUGACUGGAUGUUCUAUUAUACAACUAUUCAUUUCGCAAGAAAAAGUUGACAGUUUCAUGGGUAUCUACAAGAGAUUCUAGGAUACAAUAUUCUUCUCUUAUGUGGAGGUGAUAGUUAUAAGUUCCAUACUGCUGGUAGAGAGGAUGUCGAUGUAGACCUUUCUUGGUUGAGAUACAGAACACAUGUCUUUUCCCAUUUGAGGUGAUAAUAAAUGAAAUACAAUCAAAGAGCUCAGAGAAUAAAUUUGUUGGCGUAAGAAAUCUUAAAGUUGAAGGCAGCGAGGGUUGGGCCCUGGUUCAAGAAGGAGAAGCAGUGAAGCAAGUUUUCCCUUUGAUGAAGUUUACAUUAGAGCAUCUUCAAAGGGUCUUCCAUUUACCAUAAGAGAGGUCAAAGCGUCAUAUAUUGGUCAACUUGUGAGGAUAUGUGGUAUUGUGACACGUUGUUCAAAUGUUAAACCAUUGACACAAGUGGCAGUUUAUACAUGCAAAGACUAUGGUUUCGAGAUAUACUAGGAGAUAACAGCUCGAGUCUUCAUGCCUCUGUUUGAGUGCCCAUCUCAACGUUCUAGAACAAACCAAACGAAAGGAAACUUGAAAUUCUUCAACUUAGAGCAUCAAAAUUUCGGAAGUUUCAGGAGGCCAAACUUCAAAAGUUAGCUGAGCAUUUGGUUUGCAGGCCAAACUCAAGAGUUUGGAAUUUCAAUUUUUGUAGGGUCCUAAUUUCUGUCUCUUAUCAACAAAAUGUAAAAUUUUAAUAUGACACCUAAUCAUCACUAACUUGUGCAGAGGCUGCAUUUUGUAAGUUUAGGAUGAUUUCCAUCAGCUCUUCACUGAUGGAACUAAAAAUUGAAAUUCCAAACUAAUUGGUCAUUGCAGAUUAGAGGAGACUUGCAUAUUUGUUUGAUGGAUGAUUCUGGAGUUGCAAAGAGUCAACUUCUUAAACACAUCAUCAAUGUUGCUCCAAGGGGAAUCUACACAACUGGUAAAGGGAGUUGUUCGAAAAAUAUUGAUUGUUGUCCAGCAGACAAGGUGUGGAAUUUUGGCAUCUUUAGCACAUUUUAGGAUCAAAACAAGAAACAUCACCCGUUAGAUUUGAAUACACUGAAAGGUCACAGAGAUUCUUCCUCUGGAUUAUGCUUCUCCUCAGAUGGAAGUAAUCUGGCGACUGACAAGCACGAUGACACCUUAUGUGGGGCAUGCAGUGAAAACUAUGCUUCAAAUGAAUUUUGGAUUUACUGUGAUAUCUGUGAGAAAUGGUUUCAUGGAAAAUUUGUUGUACAACGAAAUGCUUCAGUUUAUCAGUUUUCUUGUGAUGUAUUGAGUUUUCUAAAACAGAGUAGUUGUCUUUUGUU
Long non-coding RNA from Cucumis melo (muskmelon), 1856 nucleotides. RefSeq lists it as uncharacterized. NCBI's taxonomy places the organism in Eukaryota, Viridiplantae, Streptophyta, Magnoliopsida, Cucurbitales, Cucurbitaceae. The transcript has 9 exons. The record is from RefSeq and is a predicted model, not a curated record.